UACGGAGGGUGCGAGCGUUAUUCGGAAUCACUGGGCGUAAAGGGCGCGUAGGCGGCCUGGUAAGUCAGGGGUGAAAUCCCACGGCUCAACCGUGGAAUUGCCUUUGAAACUGCUGGGCUUGGAUCCUGGAGAGGGUGGCGGAAUUCCUGGUGUAGGAGUGAAAUCCGUAGAUAUCAGGAGGAACACCGGUGGCGAAGGCGGCCAUCUGGCUGAUAACUGACGCUGAGGUGCGAGAGCGUGGGGAGCAAACAGG
Molecule: ribosomal RNA, 253 nt
Filed under: uncultured microorganism
Description: partial 16S ribosomal RNA
Rfam family: Bacterial small subunit ribosomal RNA
Source: RNAcentral